Molecule: ribosomal RNA, 754 nt
Filed under: uncultured bacterium
Lineage: Bacteria
Description: bacterial SSU rRNA
Rfam family: Bacterial small subunit ribosomal RNA
Source: RNAcentral
AGAGUUUGAUCAUGGCUCAGAAUCAACGCUGGCGGCGCGCUUAACACAUGCAAGUCGAGCGAGAAAGGGAGCAAUCCUGAGUACAGCGGCGUACGGGUGAGUAACACGUGGAUGAUCUACCUUUUAGUGGGGGAUAACCCUGGGAAACUAGGGCUAAUACCGCAUAAGCCUGAGAAGGGAAAGCAGGAAUGCGCUGGAAGAGGAGUCCGCGGCCGAUUAGCUAGUUGGUGGGGUAAGAGCUCACCAAGGCGACGAUCGGUAGCCGGCCUGAGAGGGCACACGGCCACACUGGCACUGAAACACGGGCCAGACUCCUACGGGAGGCAGCAGUGGGGAAUCUUGCACAAUGGAGGCAACUCUGAUGCAGCGACGCCGCGUGAGCGAUGAAGCCCUUCGGGGUGUAAAGCUCUUUCGGCAGGAACGAUAAUGACGGUACCUGAAGAAGAAGCUGCGGCUAACUACGUGCCAGCAGCCGCGGUAAUACGUAGGCAGCGAGCGUUGUUCGGAAUUACUGGGCGUAAAGAGUGUGUAGGCGGUGCUCUAAGUUCGGUGUGAAAUCUCCUGGCUUAACUGGGAGGGUGCGCCGGAAACUGGAGUGCUUGAGCGUGGGAGAGGAAAGCGGAAUUCCUGGUGUAGCGGUGAAAUGCGUAGAUAUCAGGAGGAACACCUGCGGUGUAGACGGCUUUCUGGACCAUAGCUGACGCUGAGACACGAAAGCGUGGGUAGCAAACAGGAUUAGAUACCCCGGUAGUCC